AGUGAACGCUGGCGGUAGGCCUAACACAUGCAAGUCGAACGGCAGCACAGGAGAGCUUGCUCUCUGGGUGGCGAGUGGCGGACGGGUGAGGAAUACAUCGGAAUCUACCUUUUCGUGGGGGAUAACGUAGGGAAACUUACGCUAAUACCGCAUACGACCUACGGGUGAAAGUGGGGGACCGCAAGGCCUCACGCGAUUAGAUGAGCCGAUGUCCGAUUAGCGAGUUGGCGGGUUAAUGGCCCACCAAGGCGACGAUCGGUAGCUGGUCUGAGAGGAUGAUCAGCCACACUGGAACUGAGACACGGUCCAGACUCCUACGGGAGGCAGCAGUGGGGAAUAUUGGACAAUGGGCGCAAGCCUGAUCCAGCCAUACCGCGUGGGUGAAGAAGGCCUUCGGGUUGUAAAGCCCUUUUGUUGGGAAAGAAAUCCUGUCGAUUAAUACUCGGUGGGGAUGACGGUACCCAAAGAAUAAGCACCGGCUAACUUCGUGCCAGCCGCCGCCGUAA
Molecule: ribosomal RNA, 506 nt
Filed under: uncultured bacterium
Lineage: Bacteria
Description: partial 16S ribosomal RNA
Rfam family: Bacterial small subunit ribosomal RNA
Source: RNAcentral